GUUUUCCUGGUUCUGCUCCUCUCACUCUGCAUCAAUUCCUGGAGGUCGUUCCAGUCCCCAUGGAAUUCCUCCACUUUAUUAUUCCUUUUAGCACAAUAGUAUUCCAUCACCAACAUAUACCACAAUUUGUUCCGCCAUUCCCCAAUUGAAGGGCAUCCCCUCAUUUUCCAAUUUUUUGCCACGACAAAGAGUGCAGCUAUGAAUAUUCUUGUACAGGUCUUUUUCCUUAUUAUCUCUUUGGGAUACAAACCUAGCAGUGCUAUGUCUGGGUCAAAGGGCAGACAUUCUUUUAGUACCCUUUGGGCAUAGUUCCAAAUUGCCCUCCAGAAUAGUUGGACCAAUUCAUGGUAAACUGUUUGAGAGUCUUUUUUUUUUUUAAUAUAAAAGUAGGCUUCCUUAGAGAAAGUAAUGUGGAUAAACAGACAAAUCACUAAGCUGAUGCCAUUUUUAUAAAAGACAAAUUGGGAGAUGGAGGCAAAGGCAGGAGGAAUCAUCCUGCAAUGGAUUAUCAACCUUGAAUUAAAGAUAAAAAUACAAACAUGGCUCAAUUCUGAAACAAUAGUUUUAUUCAAUCUCAGAUUAAACCAAGGCUGUAGAAGAACAGUAAAGGCAAAAAAAAAGAUAUUCUUUCUUUCUUUCUUUCUUUCUUUUUUUUUUUUUGUAAAGCUACAUUAGAUAAAAAGGAAGAUCAAAGAGGGGACAACAGGAUUAUGGGUAGGGUGGAAAUAAUGGUAUUCAUGAUGAAGAGAAGGCAAAAUUAUUCAACUGAUAUUUUGCUUCUUUUCUCUGUUACAGAAAAACUUUGUAAUGAAAAAGAAGGAUCAAAAAUGGCCAACAUGGAGUUAAGACCUAAGGGGCUGACUCUCCUCCUUGUGACCUGUCUGCCAAUGGGAGAAGCAGUCAUGGGACAUCCUUCAGAUCUCCAGGCAGGUCCCCACCUACCUAGGACCCAGGCAUUCACCGAGGACACGCCCCUAAAGACCAUGUGUCUGCAGCCUUUCCCUCCCUCUUCAAGUUUUGGCUACUCCUCUAUGGGAUAUAUAUUUGUAUACAUUUCUAACCUUGUCACUUCUCUAGUUACUUCUAGUGUAGAAGCACUCAUGGGAGUCACCCAGAUGCCACUGUAAACUUGGUAACUAUUCUAGCCUGAAGUCCUGGACAUUGCCUAUAGUCAAUACCUCUCUCCUAGGGACAGCUCUACAACAAUUCUCAGCUCUGAAGAAGCUACAGAAGACUGAGACCAUCACCCCUUUUCCCUUAGAUAUUUGAAGGGGGGAAGUGUCAUAGGCACUGUAUACCCAGAAACUCAGGCAGACUAUUGUCAGGGAAAUUCCUUUGCUCCCUUACAUCCUCGUGAUGCUGAUCAUACAAGGCUAGUUAAUCACUGAGUAGGCUUUGUCAAGGAUCGCAUUAAUUCAGUCCAGCUCAUGGUCCUUAGACUGCAUUAUCAACCCCUUGCAACUUGCCCAGCCCCUUAUGAUGAGGCCAUCUCCAUGGAUGAUUCAUCAUGUUUCAUGAAAAGAAGUGGGGAAUGAAGGAGGUUAAAUGACCGCCCCCUGGGGCAUCAGGGGUAAACUCUUGCCCAAGUCAGUAUAACCAUUCCAGCAGCUAAGCAGACACUCCCUGUAAGGUAAACAUCUCAAUCCAAAAUAUUCUGUUAUUCACAUUUCAUUCAAGCCUCCCAUGCUAUAUAAAGUAUGCCCCUAGCUGAGCCGGGUGUGGCUCCUCUUUUGGGGCAACCCUAGCAUGCUGGUAAUAAAGGUGAUCCAUUGCCUAC
Molecule: long non-coding RNA, 1777 nt
Organism: Monodelphis domestica (gray short-tailed opossum)
Lineage: Eukaryota; Metazoa; Chordata; Mammalia; Didelphimorphia; Didelphidae
Source: Ensembl